RNAcentral lists this small RNA (1096 nucleotides) under Arabidopsis thaliana (thale cress). RNAcentral's name for it is "ATSL098060". The record is from RNAcentral. Lineage: Eukaryota; Viridiplantae; Streptophyta; Magnoliopsida; Brassicales; Brassicaceae.
UUCAAAGAAAAGGUGCCACAGAGACCCAAGAAAAUCAAAAUAAAAAGAAAAUAAAAAUGAUAUAUGACAAGGGAAGAAAGGGUGGUACUGUAGUACUCAACGAUGGUGGGUGGGGCUCUUGCUAGAGCUAUGUGGCUUGCCUGGCUUUCUCCUGCUCCUACCUAAGCGACGGCCUGGGAGUGCUCUGGUGGUGGCUGCGAGGUAGAAGCUCCACUAGGUCCAGCAGCAGGGACCAACCUCUCUGCAUGUCGAUCCUCAAUAGUCUUAGACUGGUUCUCACGGUUUGCAUCAUCCACUCCUCCUCUGCGAGUACAUACACAAGGCCUGAUCCUAGAAAUGGCUCUCCACAUCUUGUGCAUCAUACUGUUGUUCUUCCUUGUCAAUGCUAUCAUCCAUGCCAUCUGCUGUGAGAUAUCGUCACCUGCUGGUGGUGGUGAAACGCGGUACGGUGUUGGAUCCUCAGGGAGCAACAAAUAUGGCUGAGCGUGCGCGAGAGAUGUGGGAUAAGCAUAAUCCUCAUAAAUCUCAUCGUUACUGAUAACAUGCUCAUCUGUAGGCUGAGCCUCUGCAGUCCGGCGUCGUCGAGGAACGGUCUUAGAAGGGUCAGGAACAAGGUACUGCUCGUUAUGUUCGAACACUGGGUUUGUCGUGGAGAGAAGUGAAGUAAUAUGCUGGUUGGGUAUCCCGCGAAAUAAUUGUUAUCGUCUCUGCCCAUAAAUGGUACACUCGACUUCUUGGCUUGAGGGAGCUGGUAUGAUCAGGUAGUCCAAGUCCAUUCGCUCUCAUUUAAUGGAUGACUCAGCCCUAGAGAGGUCUAGAUCGCAGCCAAGGAACAAUGGAAUAAGUGCAGUACUAGCUAAAAUGCUCUGCGCGGAUGAUUUAGAAACAAUAUUCUUCAUCUUCACCAAUGUGUCACACACAACCGCAUCUACAUUAGUGUCAGGAGCUGGAAGAUCGGAGUAGGUGCCUAGCUAUCGUGUUCCUGUAGCUAUCGUGUUCCAAAAGUUGUCAGCAACCGUAGGAGACAACUUUGAAAACUCAACCGCUUCUCCUUUCGUAAAUCCAUACAUGUCGUAGAUCUCAAACAUUGUCUUGU